RNAcentral lists this ribosomal RNA (177 nucleotides) under Ophiocordyceps lanpingensis. RNAcentral describes it as "5.8S ribosomal RNA". The stretch from base 13 to 166 matches the Rfam family "5.8S ribosomal RNA". From Rfam's summary of the family: 5.8S ribosomal RNA (5.8S rRNA) is a component of the large subunit of the eukaryotic ribosome. It is transcribed by RNA polymerase I as part of the 45S precursor that also contains 18S and 28S rRNA. Lineage: Eukaryota; Fungi; Ascomycota; Sordariomycetes; Hypocreales; Ophiocordycipitaceae. The record is from RNAcentral.
CAAAUGAAUCAAAACUUUCAACAACGGAUCUCUUGGUUCUGGCAUCGAUGAAGAACGCAGCGAAAUGCGAUAAGUAAUGUGAAUUGCAGAAUUCAGUGAAUCAUCGAAUCUUUGAACGCACGUUGCGCCCGCCAGUACUCUGGCGGGCAUGCCUGUCCGAGCGUCAUUUCAACCCUC